RNAcentral lists this transfer RNA (77 nucleotides) under Rhodospirillaceae bacterium. Its description in RNAcentral is "tRNA-Pro". It matches the Rfam family "tRNA". From Rfam's summary of the family: Transfer RNA (tRNA) molecules are approximately 80 nucleotides in length. Lineage: Bacteria; Pseudomonadati; Pseudomonadota; Alphaproteobacteria; Rhodospirillales; Rhodospirillaceae. RNAcentral also lists the same sequence under 1 other name. The record is from RNAcentral.
CGGGGCGUGGCGCAGUCUGGUAGCGCAUUCGACUGGGGGUCGAAAGGUCGCAGGUUCGAACCCUGCCGCCCCGACCA